UUAGUAGUAGAUAAAGAAGAAAAUUUAACUCAAUAACAACUUGAGAAAUAAAAAUGAAGGUAAAAUCAAGGCCUAAGCUUCAAUUGCACAUGUUAGUGAAUUGUGAAUUAAAUAAAAAAAAAUGCCCAAAUGCAUAUUGGACUAUUGAAGUUAAAAUCGGAGAUGUGAUGUUGGCAACUUGUUUUUUAACCAUUUAGUAGAGUUAAAAAAUAGUAUUUUAGAUGGAUAAAUAACAAAAAUAUAGUCCAUUAACAUAAUUACAAAAAAUAUAUAACACUUUAUGUUCUAUAAAGAAAUAUAUUAAAUUGCUUGUAAUGAGAAAUAAUGAAUUACAAAACGAUAUUUUAAAAUAAGAUUAUUGAAAUUAAAAGUAAAUUAACUAAUUAAAGAUUUAAAGCAUUAAUAAAAAAAUAAAACCACGAUGUUAUAAUUCACAAAACUAUACAAACUUGUUUAAACAUAUCAUUUGAUGAUCAAUUAGUAAAUUUAGUAUAUUUAUCUAAAAUUAAUAAUUUAAAUUAUUCAAUACAUUUAAUUUUGGAUUAUGCAAUAUACAACUGUUUGUACGUAAAAAUGCUUCCUGGUAGUUGAUAUUUGAAUAAAAAAAAUGGUCAUGUGUUAUAAAUAAGAUUAAUAUACUAUAUUUUAAAAAGAAUUUAUUACUUCUAUAUAACUUAAUAGAUUAAGUUAAUAAGAUAAAACAAUAUUUAUAUAAAAUGAAUAUUCAAAACUGAAUGAGACAUACUAACUUAAAUUGACAAAUAAAAAAAAACGAGACAUAACAUUUGAUAUACAUAUACAAGUCAAAUUUACAUUUGCAUUAAUAACAUAGUAAGACUUUUGCAUUGUUAGAAAGUUGGUGUUAGUUGAUAUCUGGAAUGGUUUUUUAUGCCUACAUAUUACACUUUAAAAUAGUAAAAAAAAUAAAAAAAAUAAGUUAGUUUAUAAGAUAUAUGUGACUUGUUAAAUACUAUAACCUAACUUGCUUACAUUUUGAAACGUCAUAAACAUUUGUAGAAUUUAAACUUAUGGCAAAUGAAAUAUAGUUUAAUAUGUAAAAUUACGUCAAUAAAAAACUCAAUAUGCGGCAGGCAUCGUAAAUUAUUUAAAAUACGUGUAAAUUUAUUUAUGAAAAUAGUAAUGGGACCUGAUAACAAAGCUUGUCUAGAUAUAAAUCAUAAAAAGCAUUCUCAAUGUCAUUACUUCUUCUCACUUCUUUGGUUGCAUUCCUAACUAAUAUGGAAAAAAUCAAUUCCAGAUUUGCAAGACUAAGAAUGAAAAGUGCAAUGCUAUAUUGCUUUAAAUUUUGCAAAGUGCAAUUUAUUUGAUCAGAAAAUGAUUGACAGUACAAUCCUAAAAUUCUUGAAACUCAAAAUCCAAUUAAAACCAUAAAAUUUAUUAUCAUAGAUUCGGAAAUCAAACAAUUACAUGAAAUGAAUUUUUACUUUUGUUUCAUAGAUUUAUGACAAGAUUGGUUAACAAUUAUUUUUUAUUGUAUAAUAGAUUACUUUUUGCUUCAGUGUACAACAUCUAAUAUGAAUAUAUACCGUAAAACAAUCCAUCUAAAAUACUUUUUUUAACUUUACCAAACAGUUAAAAUACAUGUUACCAACAUCAUAUCUCCGAUUUCAACUUCAAUAAUCCAAUACGCAUUUGGAAAUUUUUAUUUAAUUCACAGUUCAAUAACAUGUAUAAUUGUAGCUUCGGCCUUAGUUUUCCUUCCAUUUUUUUUGUCAUGUUGCUACUGUGUUAAAUUUUNCUUAUCUACUCUAUCAGAAGCAGUACUAUCAAAACUUUUUUCCUUCUUAUUCGUGGUUGUUGCUUUUUCCCUUUUCAUUUGGUGUUCACACCUUCAUAUAAGAAUAUUUUAUAUCAAUAACAUGUGAAAUAUGUAUGAUUGAAUGAUCGCCAUCAUAAUUGCAUGUACAUUUGUUUCAACAUCUUCAUUAGCAUCAUGAGUAGUGCAACUGAAGAUUAUUAAUAUCCCAAAUUAAAAUAUGCAUGACUCUUUCUUGUACUUAACCCUAAAAUAUAACUCAAAUNCUAACCCUAAAAUAUAACCCAAAUCAAUCUAUUUUCUUUAGUAAUUGGAUCAAAAUUGCUACUUUUACUUAUAAAUAACUCGCCAUGUAGAUAAUACAUUGAAACUUGGUAAAUAACUUAUUAGGCGAGGCCUAUGUUGAAAAUCAAUAUUUCUCUUUUAUCUUAUGACAAUAAACACCAUUCAAAAAAGCCAAUGAUGUGGUCAUAUCAAGGUCAAUUAAACAUAAAACUAGGUAAAUGACAGCUAAAAAGCCUACCCACAAUUGCAAUGACAUACCAAUUUGUUAACCAUGACCCAAGCAUGAUAACUUGUUAUGAAACAUAAAAAACUUCUCAAAGUUGACAACAUAUGGCUAAAAUAAACAAAGAAAUUAAUAAACUUUCUUAUUUCUUGCAAUUAAUCACAAAAGAAAAAAAUCAAAGUGUCGUGACCUUUGAUAGAUCACGGUGAAAGACCUGGGAUAAAUAUUAACCGGGCUCCACCCUAUAACUCACAGUAGUCCCCUCCGACGACGGUAUGGUGGUUUACCCAAACCUAAAUUUUUAAAAGUAUGAUAAGACAAUAUUAUUUAUUAUGGUAGACGUGUACUUGCAUGAGUUUUCCACGGGAAUAGUUUAUAACUAUUAAUCCAUUAUUUGAUGGUUUACGGAAUAUAUAUUUCUUACAAGUGGAUAUUAACACAAUUAUAAUUUAAUCAUGGCAACAACACUGAGAUGAAGGCCCUGCUUCGCAUGAACCUGUAGCAAAAGCUAGUUCUUGGCAAAGUUGUAAGCAGUCGAUGCUGAUUGCGUCACACCUUCCAAAACACGCUGGUCCAAGAGCUGUAUGGAUGGAAACUCAAAAUAGAUGUUUUAAUUAAAUUAUGCUUUAUCGUAAAUUUUUCUAAAUUACCCGGACAAAGAGGAAUGAUGUCAUACCUAAAAUCGGAAUACAUGUCAUGACGAUAAACCACAACACAAAAACCAUCACGACAAGAGAAUUUUUUGUUGUGUAGGCCAUUUAUUUGACAAACAAUAUUGCUUGAUUUUUAUUGUAAGAAUAGAAUUAAAAAAACGAUCGUAGUUUAUGUCGAAUUAUAACUCCUUACAUAGUCUUUCAAGUGAAGCAUAAACUUNUAGUAGUUAAAGAAGAAAAUUUAACUCGAUAACAACUUGAGAAAUAAAAAUGAAGGUAAAAUCAAGGCCUAAGCUUCAAUUGCACAUGUUAGUGAAUUGUGAAUUAAAUAAAAAAAAAUGCCCAAAUGCAUAUUGGAUUAUUGAAGUUAAAAUCGGAGAUAUGAUGUUGGCAACUUGUUUUUUAACCAUUUAGUAGAGUUAAAAAAUAGUAUUUUAGAUGGAUAAAUAACAAAAAUAUAGUCCAUUAAUAUAAUUACAAAAAAUAUAUAACACUUUAUGUUCUAUAAAGAAAUAUAUUAAAUUGCUUGUAAUGAGAAAUAAUGAAUUACAAAACGAUAUUUUAAAAUAAGAUUAUUGAAAUUAAAAGUAAAUUAACUAAUUAAAGAUUUAAAGCAUUAAUAAAAAAAUAAAACCACGAUGUUAUAAUUCACAAAACUAUACAAACUUGUUUAAACAUAUCAUUUGAUGAUCA
This 3631-nucleotide long non-coding RNA is filed under the name Lactuca sativa (garden lettuce). Its description in RNAcentral is "long non-coding RNA (LSAT_LNC001141)". Lineage: Eukaryota; Viridiplantae; Streptophyta; Magnoliopsida; Asterales; Asteraceae. The record is from RNAcentral.